RNAcentral lists this ribosomal RNA (319 nucleotides) under uncultured bacterium. RNAcentral's name for it is "bacterial SSU rRNA". It matches the Rfam family "Bacterial small subunit ribosomal RNA", at positions 470 to 789 of the family's 1533-position model. The record is from RNAcentral.
UGCUAGUAUGCGUAGAAUAAGGAUCGGCUAACUCCGUGCCAGCAGCCGCGGUAAUACGGAGGAUCCGAGCGUUAUCCGGAUUUAUUGGGUUUAAAGGGUGCGCAGGCGGCGCUUUAAGUCAGUGGUCAAAUCGUGAGGCUCAACCUCAUCCCGCCAUUGAUACUGGAGCGCUUGAUUGCGGUUGAGGUAGGCGGAAUUCGUCGUGUAGCGGUGAAAUGCAUAGAUAUGACGAAGAACACCGAUUGCGUAGGCAGCUGACCAGGCCGUAAAUGACGCUCAUGCACGAAAGUGCGGGGAUCGAACAGGAUUAGAUACCCUG